ACGCCACCUUAUCUAGAGUAAGAUAAGACUGAUAAGGAGUGUAUCAACACUUUCACCGAGUGAUAAAAUGACCAUUCCACAUCUGCGUCCGAGGGAAUAGAGGGAGAGAGUUACGCCUAGGUUUCAUACCUACUACUCCUACAAGACUAGGUCUACAGUAAGGUGUAUACUUGCUUUAAAAUUAAUCCGUUCAGGGCAAUAAUAAAUUACCACAGAUGACAAAAUCAAGUAAUGGUUUCAAAUUCCACAGAAAAAUUAGAAUGGUAAGGUGACAUCAAUUCAUUUUGAGAGGGAUACCCUCAGGUUUCAGAUAAAAUGAUCAUCUAUAAGUAAAUUCCCUAUCAAAAUGAAAAAAUAUCUGAUAAAAUCUGAUUACUAUCAAACUUAGUUAAAACAAUUUAAGAGAGUAUAGUAUUGUUGACUGAAAACAAUGUUUAUUUUCUGGAGGCUAUCAUGAGAAAAACUGGAAGAUAAGAAAGGAUGAUUAUGUUGUUUAAAAAACCUAAACUAUUUGGUAAAACUUAACAAAGGGGUAAGGGAGUAAAUGAAAAAAAUUCAUUACUAAUUUUCUGCCUUAAUUAUGAAAGAGUUGAAAGCGGGUGAAUCCUAAUAAUUGAUCCCAAAAAAAGAUACACAACCAAAAUUUUUAACUCAGAGGUUCCAACUAAAAUCACACUUACUCAAUGAGGGACCUGAUGGAAUUUAUAAUUUGCACAGAUGAUUCUUCUUAUUCAUACCAACAAUUGAGAGGAAAGUAAGAUAAGUGCUUAUACUCACUGCUGAGGAAAAAUGAAGACAGGGCAUUCCAUUGAACGAAUGUACGCACCAUGUUGGAAUUGAUGUCAGAGAUCACAGGCAAAAUUUCAUUUUACACUUGAUUCACUUCUCGAGACAAAUUGGCCGUGUCAAGAAAAGGCGGAUCGAAAAAAAAACUGUCAGACGAGAUAGGGAAAACAGUGAGCCAGACUUCGUAAGUAAACUUUUCCCGUUUUCCCCAUUGUUUCAUGUUUGGUCUAGAAUUGAGACGAUA
This 1030-nucleotide long non-coding RNA is filed under the name Bemisia tabaci. RNAcentral's name for it is "lncRNA ENSSSA1NGG009090". The record is from RNAcentral. Lineage: Eukaryota; Metazoa; Arthropoda; Insecta; Hemiptera; Aleyrodidae.